This 103-nucleotide non-coding RNA is filed under the name Methylomagnum ishizawai. Its description in RNAcentral is "TPP riboswitch aptamer (THI element)". It matches the Rfam family "TPP riboswitch aptamer (THI element)". From Rfam's summary of the family: Vitamin B(1) in its active form thiamin pyrophosphate (TPP) is an essential coenzyme that is synthesised by coupling of pyrimidine and thiazole moieties in bacteria. The record is from Rfam by way of RNAcentral. RNAcentral also lists the same sequence under 1 other name. Lineage: Bacteria; Pseudomonadati; Pseudomonadota; Gammaproteobacteria; Methylococcales; Methylococcaceae.
CCGUAAGGCUAGGGGUGCUCCGCCGUGUACCGGGCGGGGCUGAGACACACCCUUCGAACCUGAACCGGCUAAUACCGGCGUAGGGAAGCCAGUCACAGGGCCG